UCUGGAAUAGCUCAGUUAGUUAGAUCGUGUGGUUGUUAACCACAAGGUCGGAGGUUCAAGCCCUCCUUCUAGCG
This 74-nucleotide transfer RNA is filed under the name Capsicum annuum. It matches the Rfam family "tRNA". From Rfam's summary of the family: Transfer RNA (tRNA) molecules are approximately 80 nucleotides in length. Their secondary structure includes four short double-helical elements and three loops (D, anti-codon, and T loops). Lineage: Eukaryota; Viridiplantae; Streptophyta; Magnoliopsida; Solanales; Solanaceae. The record is from Rfam by way of RNAcentral.